Molecule: ribosomal RNA, 253 nt
Filed under: uncultured bacterium
Lineage: Bacteria
Description: partial 16S ribosomal RNA
Rfam family: Bacterial small subunit ribosomal RNA
Source: RNAcentral
UACGGGGGGGGCAAGCGUUGUUCGGAAUUACUGGGCGUAAAGGGCUCGUAGGUGGCCAACUAAGUCAGACGUGAAAUCCCCAGGCUCAACUUGGGAACUGCGUCUGAUACUGGAUGGCUUGAAUUCGGGAGAGGGAUGCAGAAUUCCAGGUGUAGCGGUGAAAUGCGCAGAUAUCAGGAGGAACACCAACGGCGAAAGCACUCUGCUGGGCCGACACUGACACUGAGAGACGAAAGCUAGGGGAGCGAAUGGG